AUGGCAGGUGCGUCGAGCGGGAUCAGUGCAGAGACGGCGCGCGGUGCCCACGUCGUCAUGGCCGUUCGCAACCUCGCCGCCGCAGAGGCUGUUCGCCAGGCCGUCCUCGUCGAGACCCCCGGCGCGAGCGUGGAGGUGAUGGAGCUGGACCUCUCCUCGUUGGCAUCUGUCCGCAAGUUCGCACCGACUUCGCCGCCAGUGGCCUCCCGCUCAACAUCCUCAUGUAAGGCAGCCCUACUUCUCGCUUCUACUAGUCCCAAUCAUGCGAAAAGCACUUGA
RNAcentral lists this ribosomal RNA (279 nucleotides) under Triticum aestivum (bread wheat). RNAcentral describes it as "partial small subunit ribosomal RNA". The record is from RNAcentral. Lineage: Eukaryota; Viridiplantae; Streptophyta; Magnoliopsida; Poales; Poaceae.